CGCUCUACUGCAACCGGGCCCGCUGCAAGGAGCGCGUGCUCACGGCGGUGUCCGGCGCGCUGGGAUACGCGCACGCGCGGCCCAUCCGGCUCUCGGGCCGUCGCCUUUCCACCAUGCGACUCAUGUUCACGGCCAGCACCAGCCGCAAGUUCUACGACUGCAGCAUUCCCGGCGAUGAGUACCCGCUGCCCAUCUGAUGCUGGGAGGACCCGCCUGCAGAGCGCGCCAGCCUGCUGGCGCUGGUGGUCCCUCCAGCCCAGCUUGAUCCGCCCAAUGUUGAGGGUGCGGAUCCUCUGCGCUCGGUCGUCACUCUGGAGUGACGGGCGGGCGCGGUCGUGCCGGUGUCGGCUGAUGUCAGCGUGUUGUGUAAAUAAAUGUGUUCCUUCUGUG
Pollicipes pollicipes is the source of this 390-nucleotide long non-coding RNA. RefSeq lists it as uncharacterized. The record is from RefSeq and is a predicted model, not a curated record. Lineage: Eukaryota; Metazoa; Arthropoda; Thecostraca; Pollicipedomorpha; Pollicipedidae. The transcript is spliced from 3 exons.